Molecule: non-coding RNA, 892 nt
Organism: Chiloscyllium plagiosum (whitespotted bambooshark)
Lineage: Eukaryota; Metazoa; Chordata; Chondrichthyes; Orectolobiformes; Hemiscylliidae
Source: RefSeq, a predicted model, not a curated record
GUUUUGGGCGUAGGUUAUCUCCACUGAAAUUGUUGCUCCAUGGAGAUGAGGUCCUUAGCAGCUGCCGUGUUGAUUAUGUGCUCAAAAAAAGGUCAUGAUCCCAUAAUAAAACAGAUGCUGCAUGAUUGAUCUGUUCAAUCACUUUGUAUUCUGCUUUUUCAAAGCAGUCUUUACGAGCAAAUUUUCAAAUUGAAGUGUGGAAAGAAUUGAAUAAUUCCCAAAUGAGUCAGACAGAAACAUAAAAUUGGAACCAGACAACAAAAAUGUGAAACAGGAAUUCCUAAAUCUGAAUACAUCUUAGUGAAAAUACGACCCACUGAAGAACAAUUCCAAAGGCGAUGCUCGACGUUGAAGAGGAUCCUUGAUCUACCAUGUUGCUCCAAAUAUUGAGGUGGUGCUGUGGACCUUAUCAAGAAAAAGGGAGACCUUUCAUUGUGAGCAAACUGAAGACCUGAGAGGGAUGACAUGGAGUAUUUUAUAGAAGAAACCUCCAUCUCUUUUUACUUUGGCACUCUACUUCUGAACUAGCAUAGUACUUCUUCUCAAAGGGAUGGCACAGUUUCCACCUUUUUGUUUCUACUACAAAUCGUGAUAUUCGAUGGAAUAAUGACAUUGCUGGAAGUAAGCUGACACAAAAGAUUUUUAAAAUACUCUGUCUCAUAUCUGAAAAUAGUGACUGCUCUACAAGCAUGUUUCAACUGAUCCUAUCUGAUGCUAGAAUAGUUAACAAAGCAAAUGUGUACAUUACUUACUCAGCAUAAUUGUAAAGUGAUUUUAUUUUUAAACAGGGUUUUAGAAAAGUUACUAAAUGAGAAGUUUUAAAACAUUUAAUAACAAUUUAAAUAUGGAGAAUAAAAGCAAAUCAGUACUGUUGCAUUUUAUGGACUUUUCA